GCUCCUACCGAUUGAGUGAUCCGGUGAAUUAUUCGGACUGACGCAGUGCUCAGCUUCUGCACGUUGCGUUGGAAAGUUUCAUGAACCUUAUCACUUAGAGGAAGGAGAAGUCGUAACAAGGUUUCCGUAGGUGAACCUGCAGAAGGAUCAAGAUCGGAAUAGCACACGUCUGAUUCCCAGUCACGUUGCCUUACCUCCUAUGCCGUCUUUCGCUUGAAAAAAACAAUCCAACCCUUCCCCCCUUCUUCUUACUUCGGCUUCUUUAACACAUUUCUCU
Molecule: unclassified non-coding RNA, 277 nt
Filed under: sea anemone metagenome
Description: partial contains small subunit ribosomal RNA and internal transcribed spacer 1
Rfam family: Eukaryotic small subunit ribosomal RNA (bases 1-153)
Source: RNAcentral